RNAcentral lists this ribosomal RNA (783 nucleotides) under uncultured bacterium. Its description in RNAcentral is "partial 16S ribosomal RNA". The record is from RNAcentral.
AAACUAAGUUUCCAACGUCUAGCACACAUCGUUUACGGCAUGGACUACGAGGGUAUCUAAUCCUCUUCGCUACCCAUGCUUUCGUUCCUCAGUGUCAGUAAUGAUCCAGAAAGUUGCCUUCGCUUUUGAUGUUCUUUCUAAUAUCUACGAAUUUCACCUCUACACUAGAAAUUCCACUUUCCUCUAUCAUACUCUAGCUAAAAAGUUUUGAUGGCAGUUCCAAGGUUGAGCCUUGGGAUUUCACCAUCAACUUUUUUAACCACCUACGAACUCUUUAAGCCCAGUAAUUCCGAACUACGCUAGGUCCCUUCGUAUUACCGCGGCUGCUGGCACGAAGUUAGCCGGACCUUCUUAUUCGGGUACAGUCAUUUUCUUCCCCGACGAAAGAGUUUUACAACCCAAAGGCCUUCUUCACUCACGCGGCAUCGCUGCAUCAGGGUUUCCCCCAUUGUGCAAGAUUCCCCACUGCUGCCUCCCGUAGGAGUUUGGGCCGUGUCUCAGUCCCAAUGUGGCUGGUCUUCCUCUAAGAACAGCUAUUGAUCGUUGCCUUGGUAAGCUAUUACCUUACCAACUAGCUAAUCAAGUGCGGGCUCAUCUUUUGGCAUUAAAACUUUCCCUGUGAAGGCUUAUCCGGUAUUAGCACAAGUUUCCUCGUGUUAUUCCAGACCAAAAGGCAGAUUCCCACAUUAUACUCACCCGUUUGCCACUCAGUAUUGCUACUGCGUUCGACUUGCAUGUGUUAGGCGUGCCGCCAGCGUACGUUCUGAGCCAGGAUCAAACUCU